GACGAAGGGGGCUAGCGUUGCUCGGAAUCACUGGGCGUAAAGCGCACGUAGGCGGCUUUUUAAGUCAGGGGUGAAAUCCUGGAGCUCAACUCCAGAACUGCCUUUGAUACUGAGAAGCUUGAGUCCGGGAGAGGUGAGUGGAACUGCGAGUGUAGAGGUGAAAUUCGUAGAUAUUCGCAAGAACACCAGUGGCGAAGGCGGCUCACUGGCCCGGUACUGACGCUGAGGUGCGAAAGCGUGGGGAGCAAACAGG
Molecule: ribosomal RNA, 253 nt
Filed under: uncultured bacterium
Lineage: Bacteria
Description: partial 16S ribosomal RNA
Rfam family: Bacterial small subunit ribosomal RNA
Source: RNAcentral